This 120-nucleotide ribosomal RNA is filed under the name Triticum aestivum (bread wheat). RNAcentral describes it as "partial small subunit ribosomal RNA". Lineage: Eukaryota; Viridiplantae; Streptophyta; Magnoliopsida; Poales; Poaceae. The record is from RNAcentral.
CACGUGUCAAAAUUCAGAUCCGUUUUCACCGUGCUUUCAAAUAUUUGUCCCACAUUCAUUCGGGAGGGUACUCCUAAGGGAUUGAAGACCAUAUCAACGGGUGUUCCAUCUUGCAAAUAG